Non-coding RNA from Maylandia zebra (zebra mbuna), 360 nucleotides. The record is from RefSeq and is a predicted model, not a curated record. Lineage: Eukaryota; Metazoa; Chordata; Actinopteri; Cichliformes; Cichlidae.
ACAAACUGGCACUGUGAUGGUUGGUCUGGAAAAUGCUGUGAAGAACAACAUUAAGCAGACCUACGCCAAAACUGAGCGUUAUGCACUCUGAGUAGCUCCGUGUUGAUCCUGACAACUUCAGGGUGCUUUUUGUGUAGCCUCCAAGUUUGGACCUCAAGUCUUCGCCCCUGAUGUCCAGAUGACCUGGCAGACAUUCCUCGCUGUGGUCGUCUCUGCCCUGGGCAAACAGUACCACUGAACUUGUGGAAUUAUAGUUCAUAUUCAUAACCAAAUAAUUUACAGCAGUGUUUCCGUUUAGCGCUUCGAAGCUGAUGCAUGUGACAAAUAAAUUUCCAGUUAAAUAAAAUUCUCUUUGUGUGA